AAAUUGAAGAGUUUGAUCAUGGCUCAGAUUGAACGCUGGCGGCAGGCCUAACACAUGCAAGUCGAACGGUAACAGAAAGCAGCUUGCUGCUUUGCUGACGAGUGGCGGACGGGUGAGUAAUGUCUGGGAAACUGCCUGAUGGAGGGGGAUAACUACUGGAAACGGUAGCUAAUACCGCAUAAUGUCGCAAGACCAAAGAGGGGG
This 204-nucleotide ribosomal RNA is filed under the name Escherichia coli. RNAcentral's name for it is "partial 16S ribosomal RNA". It matches the Rfam family "Bacterial small subunit ribosomal RNA", at positions 1 to 210 of the family's 1533-position model. The record is from RNAcentral. Lineage: Bacteria; Pseudomonadati; Pseudomonadota; Gammaproteobacteria; Enterobacterales; Enterobacteriaceae.